Molecule: unclassified non-coding RNA, 147 nt
Organism: Pongo abelii (Sumatran orangutan)
Lineage: Eukaryota; Metazoa; Chordata; Mammalia; Primates; Hominidae
Rfam family: Metazoan signal recognition particle RNA
About the family: The signal recognition particle (SRP) is a universally conserved ribonucleoprotein. It is involved in the co-translational targeting of proteins to membranes.
Source: Ensembl
GCUGGGCAUGGUGAUGCAUGCCUGUAGUCCCAGCUCUCAGGAGGCUAAGGUGGGAGCAUCACCUGAGCCCAGGAGAUCAAGGCUGCAGUGAGUUGUGAUCAUGCCACUGCACUCUAGCCUGGGCAACAGAGUGAGAUUCUGUCUCAG